RNAcentral lists this ribosomal RNA (430 nucleotides) under uncultured prokaryote. RNAcentral describes it as "bacterial SSU rRNA". It matches the Rfam family "Bacterial small subunit ribosomal RNA", at positions 355 to 776 of the family's 1533-position model. The record is from RNAcentral.
UGGGGAAUCUUCCGCAAUGGGCGAAAGCCUGACGGAGCAACGCCGCGUGAAUGAAGAAGGCCUUCGGGUCGUAAAGUUCUGUCUUUUGGGAAGAAGUCUCUUUGGGUAAAUAAUCCAAAGAGGUGACGGUACCAGAGGAGGAAGCUCCGGCUAACUACGUGCCAGCAGCCGCGGUAAUACGUAGGGAGCAAGCGUUGUCCGGAAUUACUGGGCGUAAAGGGCGCGUAGGCGGGUAUUUAAGUCAGAUGUGAAAACUCCGGGCUCAACUUGGAGACUGCAUUUGAAACUGGGUAUCUUGAGGGCAGGAGAGGAAAGUGGAAUUCCUAGUGUAGCGGUGGAAUGCGUAGAUAUUAGGAGGAACACCAGUGGCGAAGGCGACUUUCUGGACUGUACCUGACGCUGAGGCGCGAAAGCAUGGGGAGCAAACGGG